UUUGAUCCUGGCUCAGAGCGAACGUUGGCGGUGUGGAUUAGGCAUGCAAGUCGCGCGUGAAAGCCUUCGGGCGAGUAAAGCGGCGAACGGGUGAGUAACACGUAAUCAACCUACCCCUAAGAUCGGAAUAACCUCUGGAAACGGAGGGUAAUGCCGAAUGGUCCCACGAGGAGGCAUCUCCAUGUGGGUAAACGGUCAGCUGCUUAGGGAGGGGAUUGCGGGCUAUUAGCUAGUUGGUGGGGUAAAGGCCUACCAAGGCGACGAUCCAUAGCUGGUCUGAGAGGACGAUCA
RNAcentral lists this ribosomal RNA (291 nucleotides) under Symbiodinium sp. clade D. RNAcentral describes it as "partial Bacterial small subunit ribosomal RNA". It matches the Rfam family "Bacterial small subunit ribosomal RNA", at positions 12 to 306 of the family's 1533-position model. The record is from RNAcentral. Lineage: Eukaryota; Dinophyceae; Suessiales; Symbiodiniaceae.